RNAcentral lists this ribozyme (116 nucleotides) under Aedes aegypti (yellow fever mosquito). Its description in RNAcentral is "drz-agam-1 ribozyme". It matches the Rfam family "drz-agam-1 ribozyme". The record is from Rfam by way of RNAcentral. Lineage: Eukaryota; Metazoa; Arthropoda; Insecta; Diptera; Culicidae.
UGCCUAGCAACUCCUAUCCCUACCUCCUCGUGAUACUGGCCGGGGUACGAGUAACCUUAGGGAAGAUCGAGUAACCAACCCCGGUGGGAACUGUGGUCAUAUGCUGAUAGGGAAGG